Molecule: unclassified non-coding RNA, 927 nt
Filed under: Triodia basedowii
Lineage: Eukaryota; Viridiplantae; Streptophyta; Magnoliopsida; Poales; Poaceae
Description: partial external transcribed spacer
Source: RNAcentral
GAUGUCGGAUACAUGUUGGAGCCUCGAUUCCCUCCCCUCGCGGUCUGCAUCCACCGCGCUUCGGCGACGGGACACUCCAUGGUUGCCCGUUUUUYGGGCUUCCCUGGGGACCUUCGCCGGGCAAGACGGAUGAGGAGGUGCACCACCGAUUCUAGGCAUCAGGACGUUGUGGCUAUCCUCAUUGGAAGGUCGCAUCAUCCCAAUGCCGGAAGAGGUGGUCGAGCUGUGACAACCGGCCUGAGAACGAAAAUUGUUGGAUACAGAAUCACGGUGUGCCCACCGUGUCAACCGGCGAGAAGCAGUCUGGCGGCCGAAAGGCUGCUGGUUCUUCCACGUCGUUGGCGUAUGGGUGCAAAAAUAUGGGAUAUAUAGUUGCCUGUUCUCGCGCUCUGUGGACUUUCGGUCGUCGUCCUCAUAGCAAACCCGUUGUGCUAAGCACGAUGGGAUGCUCGGGCGUCUUGACCGUUGUGGCUACGCUGGCGCAUGAGAUGUUGUGGACAUGUGGCUGCCUGGAGGCCCCCCGUCGUUGUGCGGCCGACUCCAGGUGCAGUGUCCUUUCAAUUGUAUGGGUUUCAAAACCUGUGUCGUUGACGAGUGCUUGCGUUCUGCUACCCGUUCUGCGGGAAGUAGAGCUUCGUACAACUUACCUUCGUCGCGUGCGCCCUUUGGGCGUGUCGCGUCGAUCACCUAGCGCUUGCGGUGUUGCCUCGCGGYGUCAGCCAUCUAGGUCGGCAUCGUCUAGGACAYCUCGCAAUCGCUCUUGGUCUCGGAUGAUGCUCACUGUAUAGGCUCGUGGCAUUUUGGUGCCUCGUUCCUCCCAAAAGUCCAGUCGGAAACGUGACAGUUGGCUCGGCUAUCGUCGUCGUUAGACCCCUCAUGGUCUAGCGCGGCUGUUAGUCGUUGCCAGCUCGUCCAUGAGGACGUGCU